UUUUUUUUUUUUUUUUUUUUUUUUUUUUUUUCCAACACGUG
Molecule: non-coding RNA, 41 nt
Filed under: Prorocentrum micans
Lineage: Eukaryota; Dinophyceae; Prorocentrales; Prorocentraceae
Source: RNAcentral